AUUGAACGCUGGCGGCAGGCCUAACACAUGCAAGUCGAGCGAGAAAGGUCUUCGGACUGAGUACAGCGGCGGACGGGUGAGUAAAGCGUAGGAAUCUACCUGGUAGUGGGGGAUAACUUGGGGAAACUCAAACUAAUACCGCAUACGCCCUACGGGGAAAGCGGGGGACCGUUCGGGCCUCGCGCUAUCAGAUGAGCCUGCGUAGGAUUAGCUAGUUGGUGAGGUAAAGGCUCACCAAGGCGACGAUCCUUAGCUGGUCUGAGAGGAUGAUCAGCCACACUGGGACUGAGACACGGCCCAGACUCCUACGGGAGGCAGCAGUGGGGAAUAUUGCGCAAUGGGCGAAAGCCUGACGCAGCCAUGCCGCGUGUGUGAAGAAGGCCUUAGGGUUGUAAAGCACUUUCAAUUGGGAAGAAAAGUUGGUCGUUAAUAGCGGCCAGCCCUGACAUUACCUUUAGAGGAAGGACCGGCUAACUCCGUGCCAGCAGCCGCGGU
RNAcentral lists this ribosomal RNA (495 nucleotides) under uncultured bacterium. RNAcentral describes it as "bacterial SSU rRNA". It matches the Rfam family "Bacterial small subunit ribosomal RNA", at positions 30 to 521 of the family's 1533-position model. The record is from RNAcentral.